GAUGAACGCUGGCGGCGUGCCUAAUACAUGCAAGUCGAGCGAACAGACGAGGAGCUUGCUCCUCUGACGCUAGCGGCGGACGGGUGAGUAACACGUGGAUAACCUACCUAUAAGACUGGGAUAACUUCGGGAAACCGGAGCUAAUACCGGAUAAUAUAUUGAACCGCAUGGUUCAAUAGUGAAAGACGGUUUUGCUGUCACUUAUAGAUGGAUCCGCGCCGCAUUAGCUAGUUGGUAAGGUAACGGCUUACCAAGGCAACGAUGCGUAGCCGACCUGAGAGGGUGAUCGGCCACACUGGAACUGAGGCACGGUCCAGACUCCUACGGGAGGCAGCAGUAGGGAAUCUUCCGCAAUGGGCGAAAGCUUGACGGAGCAACGCCGCGUGAGUGAUGAAGGUCUUCGGAUCGUAAAACUCUGUUAUUAGGGAAGAACAAAUGUGUAAGUAACUAUGCACGUCUUGACGGUACCUAAUCAGAAAGCCACGGCUAACUACGUG
RNAcentral lists this ribosomal RNA (497 nucleotides) under uncultured bacterium. Its description in RNAcentral is "partial 16S ribosomal RNA". It matches the Rfam family "Bacterial small subunit ribosomal RNA", at positions 28 to 507 of the family's 1533-position model. The record is from RNAcentral.